Molecule: transfer RNA, 74 nt
Filed under: bacterium
Lineage: Bacteria
Description: tRNA-Pro
Rfam family: tRNA
About the family: Transfer RNA (tRNA) molecules are approximately 80 nucleotides in length. Their secondary structure includes four short double-helical elements and three loops (D, anti-codon, and T loops).
Source: RNAcentral
CGGGGCGUAGCGCAGUCCGGUAGCGCAUCGGCUUUGGGUGCCGGUGGUCGCCGGUUCGAAUCCGGCCGCCCCGA